Molecule: long non-coding RNA, 486 nt
Organism: Oryzias melastigma (Indian medaka)
Lineage: Eukaryota; Metazoa; Chordata; Actinopteri; Beloniformes; Adrianichthyidae
Exons: 2
Source: RefSeq, a predicted model, not a curated record
GUCUUUCCAGAUGUCAGUUUGUUUCCGGUCCAUCCUUCUUGUUUUGGUUUUAGCCGGAUGAUGAUUUAGGUGCAUUUCCGCCUACUAGUGUCUUGUUUAUUUAAUUGAUUUAAAUUUAAUUUAGUUUUGAAUUAUAUACGUUGGGGAAAGAUGUAUGAAUGAAACGCACUUUUUAAUAAACAACUUCGACAUGAAAAGUGCAUUUUAAAAAAGGAACCUGAUUUAAAAUCUUUAACUGAUGGUCAUAAUUUCCCUUUCCAGUAUGCUGACACACCCACAUAAAUAUUUAGUUGACACAUUUUUUUUUGUUUUGUUUUUAAAUACAGCAAAAGUCAAAAUUAACUGCAAACAUUUUAUUCAGUACAUUUUUCACUCCAAAACAUAUCAAAACCAGAUACAUUUGAGAAGAAAAUCAAACACUGUGCACAUUAAAUUUAUGACUGACCACCGAAGAAAUGACUUUAUGGAUCAGCUUAAAAAAAAAAA